RNAcentral lists this long non-coding RNA (549 nucleotides) under Phoenix dactylifera (date palm). RNAcentral's name for it is "long non-coding RNA (PDAC_LNC021973)". The record is from RNAcentral. Lineage: Eukaryota; Viridiplantae; Streptophyta; Magnoliopsida; Arecales; Arecaceae.
UGAAACUUUGUCCUGUAUAAAGCAUCAAAAGUUGUUUAUACCAGACCAUGCAUCUAAGGAACUAACAUAUUCCAUUGAUAGUAACUGAAUUCGCUUGAUAGUGACAGCAGAAAUGCUGAAAGAUUGCACAAUUGCAGCCGAAAAAGGCAUGGAAUGUAUGGUAUAUCUAUAUGUUUUGAAUCUAGCCAAGAUCAAGUGAUGCACAGUGCACAUAGCACAAAAUCAACAGGCACCUGGUGCAAAUAUAUGGCAAGCAGUAAACAACUCAACAGUCUGUGUAACAUUUUUUAGCUUGUUAGGGGACAAAAUUGCAUAUAUUCACAAUCAAGUAAUUAUUCAAAUAAAAAGAAAGAAGGUAGGAAAUUUGAAGGGAACCGUUGCAAUUUGCACCGCAUGUAGUUGUAGUGAAACUAAUACCACCUCCAGAGUCCAGAAAGGCAAAGGAAAUGCAUGGGAUCAUCUAUUCAUUAAUUUGUGGGAUGCAAAUGAAUGGGCAUUAGAUAAGUUCUACAACUGUGCAAUGCACAACCUGAAACAGAUGACACUUUA